GACCCAGUGGUGCAUGGAUCAUACCUGCUGUCCUUAUGUCAUUGUUCAAACAGUAAGGCAGGAGUCCCCGGUUCGAUUCCGGGCUGGGUCA
Mycena rosella is the source of this 91-nucleotide non-coding RNA. The record is from the annotation of a GenBank genome assembly. Lineage: Eukaryota; Fungi; Basidiomycota; Agaricomycetes; Agaricales; Mycenaceae.